AACACUGUUAACCUGCGGUACCUGCGGAGGGAUCAUUACAAGUGACCCCGGUUUACCACCGGGAUGUUCAUAACCCUUUGUUGUCCGACUCUGUUGCCUCCGGGGCGACCCUGCCUUCGGGCGGGGGCUCCGGGUGGACACUUCAAACUCUUGCGUAACUUUGCAGUCUGAGUAAACUUAAUUAAUAAAUUAAAACUUUUAACAAUGGAUCU
RNAcentral lists this unclassified non-coding RNA (212 nucleotides) under soil metagenome. RNAcentral describes it as "partial contains 5.8S ribosomal RNA, internal transcribed spacer 2, and large subunit ribosomal RNA". The record is from RNAcentral.